This 797-nucleotide non-coding RNA is filed under the name Mantis religiosa (praying mantis). The record is from RNAcentral. Lineage: Eukaryota; Metazoa; Arthropoda; Insecta; Mantodea; Mantidae.
UUUAAGUUUUAUUCUUGCUUGAACUGUUCAUUUUAACAUUAAUCUAUAUGUAAAUUUUUGUAUUUUAAUUUUCUAAAAGAAAAUUAAACUUAUAAGGGGCAGUAGAUAAUUUUAUUGAUAUUAAGUUAAUUUAGAUUUGGUAAAUGUUUAUAGGUUUGGUAAAAGCUGUGCCAGCAUCCGCGGUUAUACAGCAAAAUCAAAUGAACAUUAUUGGUUUUUAAGUAAUUAAUAUAGUUUUUUAAUAGGAAUUAGAAUAUUAUAAGGUGAAAUAUUUAUAAUAUUUUGAGGUUUAUUAUUUUAGUAUGAUUGUUGUGAAAAUAAAAAUAUAAACUAGGAUUAGAUACCCUAUUAUUUUUAUUGUAAAGUUAAUAAACUAGAGUAUUAGUAGAUAUGGUCUUGAAACUUAAAGAAUUUGGCGGUAUUAUAGUCUAUUUAGAGGAAUCUGUUAUGUAAUCGAUAGUCCACGUUGAACCUUACUUGUAUUAUUUCUUGUAUACCGCUGUUUAUGAAUAUACUUUUAGGUAAUUUUCUGAAUAUAAUAUUAAUUAAGAUUUCAAGUCAAGGUGCAGUAAUAUAUAAGUUGAAUAAUGGAUUACAAUAAAUUGUAUUUAUAUGGAUUAUUAUUGAAAAAAUAAUUUGAAGGUGGAUUUAAUUGUAAUUUUAUAAAGAUUAUUAAAAUGAUUUAUAGCUCUAUAAUAUGUACACAUCGCCCGUCACUCUCGUUACUUAUCAUUACUAAGAUGAGAUAAGUCGUAACAAAGUAGGUGUAUCGGAAGGUGUACCUAGAAAGUUAUUAU